GUGAUGGAAAUUCCUUUAAGGUGAUUGAUGACCGGUUCACCCCUUGCUGA
RNAcentral lists this small nucleolar RNA (50 nucleotides) under Pyrobaculum oguniense TE7. RNAcentral describes it as "POGsR57". Lineage: Archaea; Thermoproteati; Thermoproteota; Thermoprotei; Thermoproteales; Thermoproteaceae. The record is from RNAcentral.